Molecule: ribosomal RNA, 552 nt
Filed under: uncultured bacterium
Lineage: Bacteria
Description: bacterial SSU rRNA
Rfam family: Bacterial small subunit ribosomal RNA
Source: RNAcentral
GUGGGGAAUUUUGGACAAUGGACGAAAGNCCNUUUCNANNCAUGCCGCGUGCGGGAAGAAGGCCUUCGGGUUGUAAACCGCUUUUGUCAGGGAAGAAAUCCUUUGAGCUAAUACCUCGGGGGGAUGACGGUACCUGAAGAAUAAGCACCGGCUAACUACGUGCCAGCAGCCGCGGUAAUACGUAGGGUGCAAGCGUUAAUCGGAAUUACUGGGCGUAAAGCGUGCGCAGGCGGUUAUGUAAGACAGAGGUGAAAUCCCCGGGCUCAACCUGGGAACUGCCUUUGUGACUGCAUAGCUUGAGUGCGGCAGAGGGGGAUGGAAUUCCGCGUGUAGCAGUGAAAUGCGUAUAUNUGNGGAGGAACACCGAUGGCGAAGGCAAUCCCNUGGGCCUGCACUGACGCUCAUGCACGAAAGCGUGGGGAGCAAACAGGAUUAGAUACCCUGGNAGUCCACGCCCUAAACAGAUGUCAACUGGUUGUUGGGAAGGUUCCUUCUCAGUAACGUAGCCUAACGCGUGAAGUUGACCGCCNGGGGAGUACGGNCGCAAGGUUG